Molecule: long non-coding RNA, 1818 nt
Organism: Photinus pyralis (common eastern firefly)
Lineage: Eukaryota; Metazoa; Arthropoda; Insecta; Coleoptera; Lampyridae
Exons: 3
Source: RefSeq, a predicted model, not a curated record
AAUACAUAUGAAUUAUUUUUGGUUGAGUAUCACUGUAACUAUUGUUCGAGGACCACUGUAUUUUUGUACAUUGUUUAGCAUUUCGUCGUGGCGAAUUAGAAUUGUUGGGUUCUUCAUUUAGACGAUGCAGUGCGGUUUAAUAAUUCCAUGCUGGUCUACUAAUUACAUCUUUAUAUAGUUAUUAACGUCAUAAGGCCGAUAUGUAGCAAAUAACGGACGUGGUUGAAGUUUGUAAACCGAGGCGUCAGCCGAGGUUUAUAUUCAACCAAGUCCGUUAUACACGGGCCAUUCGUUUCGGAGGUCAUCCGCUACCAUGCUUGCAGAAAAUGGUGGCGAUCUCCUAACAGUGAAGGAACUUGGAGGCUGGGAUUCAUCUGCGGUAGCGGAGUCGUAUAUUGAAAAUUCUGUUUCGAAGCGAUUAAAAAUCACAAAACAACUAUUUCAAAGGUCCAAUGGAAACUCUGAAAUUACAACAUCCAUAGCCACAGCUUCUUCAUCAAGUGUAACAUCAACAGGUGAUAGUGGUCCUCAAUUUUCCUACGAUGGACUACAGAUUUCUAGCAAUAAUAACUGUCACUUUAAUUUUCAUAUUCAUUAUAAUAAGUAGUUGUUUGUAUUUCAAUAAAAGCAUUAUUUCUUAACGGCCGCAUAUGCGUCCGUUAUUUUUUAACGGACGCCGUCCGUUAUGAAUGAUAUUUCAUUUGUCAAAUGAGUUGAGUUAAAUUGAAAUAACAGUAUGGGAUGACGAAAAAUUAUUUCUGGCCAUUGACCGUUGUUUGUGUGAUUCUCGAAUUGGUUUUAGAUCGAAAUACGAUUUAACUACAUCGCUGCCAUUAGAAGGUCGAAACAAUUUAUUUCCAACCGUUCUCAUACAGUUACUGUUUUCUAAAUCACACUCCUAUAAAUUUGAGGUAUGCUAAUUUUUUGUGUUCGAAAGAGAAUUUGAAGAAAAAGCAGUCAUCUAAACUCAUGUCACAGGGUUUUCCACCAUUUGGCGUAUUUUCGCUAGUUUCCCAAUACCAAUCAAAUCAACGGAAAAGCAAUCUAUUAAUUGAUAUACUAAGAAUAUUAGCAAGGAUUUCGAAUACUAAGGUUUUAUUAUUAUGUGCCCUGAAUUUAGAAGAAAUCGCUACAUUACGGUUAAGGCAGUGGACGUUAGAUAAUAAUGAAAUUGUCCUUGCGAGAAUCAGAAAAAGAUUGCGGCGAUAAAAUAAUCGUAAACCAACUUGAUCAUUAGACUUUAAAAGUUUACUGUUUCAAGACCCCACGAAUUCUCUUGAUUAACUAAUAAAUUAUGAUACUGGUCUGCUAAAAUCAAUUAAUAAAGAUUGUUAGUAAAGGUAAUAAAUAACAGUUAAGAAACAGAAUGAAGUAGUUAGCAAAGGACCCAUUCACGACCCUCGAUAUUAAAGGCUAAGAUAUAAUACAGUAUUCUGUAUUUUUUCUUAAGGGUAAUUUAAUUAGAACUAUACUGAUAAGAGAUUUUUAACGGUCUUUGCCGGUAUCAUUUAAAAUAGGGAAACGUAAAAAUCCGUCUAGGUCAGGAUCAAAAGUGCGUGUUUUAAUUUAGUCUCAAUCGUAAUCAGAAAAGAGUUAAUCGGCUUAUCUUGUAAUAAAUCGGUUGGAGAGAAAUCUCGUCUUUUAUUUCAUAAACGUAAUAAAAUACUUCUUGUGGAUAUCGAAUAUAAACAUAAGUUACUUCGUUUAGGAUAUUUGUCAUCAACCCUUACAUACUUUACGUAGUAUAUAGUAUUGGAUUUUUCCUUUAAACCAACGCAUAAGUCAGACUCUAUAGGAGAUUCAAAUAUAAAUGUGUAU